GAUGAACGCUGACAGAAUGCUUAACGCAUGCAAGUCUACUUGAACUUCGGUUUGGGUGGCGGACGGGUGAGUAACGCGUAAAGAACUUGCCUCACAGUUAGGGACAACAUUUGGAAACGAAUGCUAAUACCUGAUAUUAUGAUUUUAGGGCAUCCUAGGAUUAUGAAAGCUAUAUGUGCUGUGAGAGAGCUUUGCGUCCCAUUAGCUAGUUGGAGAGGUAACGGCUCACCAAGGCGAUGAUGGGUAGCCGGCCUGAGAGGGUGAACGGCCACAAGGGGACUGAGACACGGCCCUUACUCCUACGGGAGGCAGCAGUGGGGAAUAUUGGACAAUGGACCAAAGGUCUGAUCCAGCAAUUCUGUGUGCACGAUGACGUUUUUCGGAAUGUAAAGUGCUUUCAGUUGGGAAGAAAAAAAUGACGGUACCAACAGAAGAAGUGACGGCUAAAUACGUG
Molecule: ribosomal RNA, 454 nt
Filed under: uncultured bacterium
Lineage: Bacteria
Description: partial 16S ribosomal RNA
Rfam family: Bacterial small subunit ribosomal RNA
Source: RNAcentral